Molecule: ribosomal RNA, 119 nt
Filed under: Triticum aestivum (bread wheat)
Lineage: Eukaryota; Viridiplantae; Streptophyta; Magnoliopsida; Poales; Poaceae
Source: RNAcentral
GAAUGCGAUCAUACUAGCACUAAAGCAUCGGAUCCCAUCAGAACUCCGAAGUUAAGCGUGCUUGGGCGAGAGUAGUACUAGGAUGGGUGACCUCCUGGGAAGUCCUCGUGUUGCAUUCC